This is a long non-coding RNA of Rhododendron vialii, 680 nucleotides long. RefSeq lists it as uncharacterized. The transcript has 3 exons. The record is from RefSeq and is a predicted model, not a curated record. NCBI's taxonomy places the organism in Eukaryota, Viridiplantae, Streptophyta, Magnoliopsida, Ericales, Ericaceae.
AAACCCAUGUUGAGUGGCUUGACUUAAAGACGAUUAUCUUCAAUUUUCAGUUUUAGGGUCAUCUGAUUUUGACAGCUGAUUUCUGAUGAAUUUCAUUUCUAUUAUGCUUUUCACAAAUUGAUGAAGUAGGAUUUUUAUUUCCAUCUCUCAUAGAAUCGUUUCCACUUCAUAAUUUGCACUCUUUUUCUCACCUUCUGGAGUCUGGACUACAAGCUUUGACAGAGCUAGCAAGGAAAGCACAACAUUAAUGGGUUUGCUCGCUAUGAGGUCUCCGUGGACGACUCAACCAAACAAUUCAUCGGCAACUUUCCUGGGCUGUGCUAAUUUUGCUGUCACAAGUAAUAUGAUCGUGUGGGCCUCGGUUUGCUAGACGCCCACCACAGGAUGUCUUAUAAUGAUCCUGUGCACGACCUAACCUUCAAAGGUGUCGUGUCCUGUAUUCUUCCCUUCACUGGUACACUUCAAAUCUUUCAUAUGCUUCUUCCUAUUAAUUCCCAUCAUGAUCUUCCAUUACAGUACUGCACUAUUGCUUGUAGUUUGAAUUUAUGUUCACAUGUCUGGAGUUGAUUUGUAAUGCAAUUUCGUAUCCUGCAUAAUUGGAACCCCAAUUUCCAGUAGAGCAGUACUUUCUCUUUUCACUCAAUGAUAGUUGUUCAUUAUAGGUUUGUUUUGUGGAAUUU